This is a small nuclear RNA of Arvicanthis niloticus (Nile rat), 102 nucleotides long. The record is from RefSeq and is a predicted model, not a curated record. Lineage: Eukaryota; Metazoa; Chordata; Mammalia; Rodentia; Muridae.
CUGUUUUGUCAACAAAUAUUAUAAAAUUUAAAUAAUAAAGAGAAGAUUAGCAUGACCCUGUACAACAAUUAACUGAAAAUUUAUGCAGCAUUUUAUAUUUUC